UUGUUUGUUGUUUGUUGUUUGUUUUUGUUUUACCCGUGACUGCUUCGUCAACGUUCUUUGCCCCUCGCUGUGCCUUGCUUCUCAGGACGCCGAUGAAGAACGAGUGAGGGGGUACGUUCGAGCUACAAGACAACAUGAAUCUUCUCUUUUUUUUUAUUUGUGUAUAUAAGUUUUUUGUAAUCAU
Molecule: non-coding RNA, 184 nt
Filed under: uncultured eukaryote
Lineage: Eukaryota
Source: RNAcentral